RNAcentral lists this ribosomal RNA (253 nucleotides) under uncultured bacterium. RNAcentral describes it as "partial 16S ribosomal RNA". It matches the Rfam family "Bacterial small subunit ribosomal RNA", at positions 524 to 776 of the family's 1533-position model. The record is from RNAcentral.
UACGUAGGGGGCAAGCGUUGUCCGGAAUCAUUGGGCGUAAAGAGCGUGUAGGCGGCUCGGUAAGUCCGCUCUGAAAGCCCGGGGCUCAACCCCGGGAGGCGGGCGGAUACUGUCGGGCUAGAGUCCGGAAGAGGCGAGUGGAAUUCCUGGUGUAGCGGUGGAAUGCGCAGAUAUCAGGAGGAACACCGAUGGCGAAGGCAGCUCGCUGGGAUGGUACUGACGCUGAGGCGCGAAAGCGAGGGGAGCAAACAGG